This 265-nucleotide ribosomal RNA is filed under the name uncultured archaeon. Its description in RNAcentral is "partial 16S ribosomal RNA". It matches the Rfam family "Archaeal small subunit ribosomal RNA", at positions 714 to 982 of the family's 1478-position model. The record is from RNAcentral.
AGACGUCUACAUUAGAUACCCCCGUAGUCCCAGCCGUAAACUAUGCGCGUUAGGUGUAUCGGUGACCACGAGUUACCGAGGUGCCGAAGGGAAACCGUGAAACGUGCCGCCUGGGAAGUACGGUCGCAAGGCUGAAACUUAAAGGAAUUGGUGGGGGAGCACCACAACAGGUGGAGCCUGCGGUUUAAUUGGACUCAACGCCGGGAAGCUCAACGGAUAGGACAGCAGAAUGAUUGCCGGGCUGAAGACCCUGCAUGACUAGCUG